GAUGAAGAACGCAGCGAAAUGCGAUAAGUAAUGUGAAUUGCAGAAUUCAGUGAAUCAUCGAAUCUUUGAACGCACAUUGCGCCCGCCAGUAUUCUGGCGGGCAUGCCUGUUCGAGCGUCAUUUCAACCAUCAAGCCCUGCUUGCGUUGGGGUCCUGCGGCUGCCCGCAGGCCCUGAAAACCAGUGGCGGGCUCGCUAGUCACACCGAGCGCAGUAAUACAUCUCGCUUUGGGCGUGCGGCGGGUUCUUGCCGUUAAAAACCCCCUUUUUACCAAGGUUGACCUCGGAUCAGGUAGGAAUACCCGCUGAACUUAAGCAUAUCAAUAAGCGGAGGA
RNAcentral lists this unclassified non-coding RNA (334 nucleotides) under soil metagenome. RNAcentral's name for it is "partial contains 5.8S ribosomal RNA, internal transcribed spacer 2, and large subunit ribosomal RNA". The stretch from base 1 to 120 matches the Rfam family "5.8S ribosomal RNA", at positions 35 to 154 of the family's 154-position model. The record is from RNAcentral.